ACCGGUUUAAUAAAGGGGCUAAAACGGGGGGUUGUACCCCCAAAGGGGGUUACCCCCCUGGAA
Molecule: transfer RNA, 63 nt
Filed under: Dicrocoelium chinensis
Lineage: Eukaryota; Metazoa; Platyhelminthes; Trematoda; Plagiorchiida; Dicrocoeliidae
Description: tRNA-Tyr
Source: RNAcentral